Molecule: long non-coding RNA, 1441 nt
Filed under: Cicer arietinum (chickpea)
Lineage: Eukaryota; Viridiplantae; Streptophyta; Magnoliopsida; Fabales; Fabaceae
Description: long non-coding RNA (CARI_LNC000437)
Source: RNAcentral
ACUAAUUAAGAUUAUUUAGAUCGACAAUAAUGAUUGAAUUGUUACAGUAACAAAACAACUAAUAACAAGGAAUUAAGAAUAAAAGUGUAAAGUUUGUGGUCAAACAAGAAAAGCUUAGAGUCACGGCUUCACUUGUAACUUUGAUUACCCCCGAUUCUAGUUAUAUUCGAAUUCAUUUAUUUUGAUUCAAUUACCGGUCCCAUUACAAAAGCUAUUAAUUCCUCAAAAUAUCUAACUAGAAACGCAACAUCUUAAUUAGAAAUAAACGUUUAGCGAAACCUAUCCAACCUAUUUCUGUCUUUUCGAGUUGAAUGAAAAUGUUUAUGAAAAUGAUGAAAAAUGUAGUUCUUACCCCUUCCAUACCUUCAACCCUCACACCAUCCACCUCAAUAUAAAGAAUCAAAUUUCUUCUCCUCGUAUCAGCCCCGACUCCAUGAAAAUAUUUAGAAAUAACGUCUCCGAUUUUCAACCAAAUAACCAUUAAUUUAUGCCAUUGAAUUAUAUGAUCAAUCUGAGACAAAGACAUCAACUACAAGGAGAUAAAGUGCUUUUCAACAAUAUUUACACCAUAUGGGAGACCAUUCUCACCUUUGAGAUCCAAUCUAUUCACAUCAUCCUUCAACACCUUAAUUUUAACCAUCCAAAUUACAAUUACGUUUCUAAUGCCACUCAUUCAAAGAUAAUUUAAUGCCUUUUAAUUUUUUUUUCAUAAUAAAAGCACCCACCCAACAAAAGUCAUACUUUUCCAUUGAUGUUGAACAAACUCAAGGUAUUCCUAAAUACACUAAAGUUAUCAAAGUCACCAACCACCAAAGUUAGAGAAUCCAUUUUCAUCUCAACAUUAUCUUUUAAAAUAACUCAAUUCCUUCGAUCCCGCUACUCAAAGAAUAAGUUGACAUAUAAAUUACUUGAUUGUGAAAUUUCCAAUGACAUGCUUUUCAAACUCGCUUCUUCUUUCCUAUCGUUGAGUAUAAUUUUCCUUUGAGAUCUUUAUCUGACAGUCUUGCAAUAUUCUUCAACUUUACAAUUUUUCUUUUGCAUCUAUUCACAUUUGGAAGUUGAAUGGUUGAUUCGUCACAAAUAUUCUCAAGCAUUGGAUUGGCAAACUUUUUAUGUAUUGCUUCUGAUAACUCCCCCUUUUCUUGACUUGAGGUGAGGAACAAACCUCUUUAACACAAUUUUCACUCCCAAACUUCUACUGAACACAAGUACUAGGUCUCUCCACAUGAUUACUUUUAACCAUCUCAAUAUUAAAAAAUGUAGUUUCCUCCUCAUUUGGUUUGUCUAACACUUCAAACCCACAAUCUAAAUUAAUCAAAUGUUGUUGCUCUAUUAGGCCAAUUGUAACACAUAGUAAGCAGAGUAUAACAACUGUGGUAAUAAUGAAAAAGUUUUCAUAUUAUAUAAGAGAAUAAAAUACUAUAAUAAAUAAUAAAUUGUC